RNAcentral lists this ribosomal RNA (497 nucleotides) under uncultured bacterium. RNAcentral describes it as "partial 16S ribosomal RNA". It matches the Rfam family "Bacterial small subunit ribosomal RNA", at positions 28 to 507 of the family's 1533-position model. The record is from RNAcentral.
GAUGAACGCUGGCGGCGUGCCUAAUACAUGCCAGUCGAGCGAACAGACGAGGAGCUUGCUCCUCUGACGUUAGCGGCGGACGGGUGAGUAACACGUGGAUAACCUACCUAUAAGACUGGGAUAACUUCGGGAAACCGGAGCUAAUACCGGAUAAUAUAUUGAACCGCAUGGUUCAAUAGUGAAAGACGGUUUUGCUGUCACUUAUAGAUGGAUCCGCGCCGCAUUAGCUAGUUGGUAAGGUAACGGCUUACUAAGGCAACGAUGCGUAGCCGACCUGAGAGGGUGAUCGGCCACACUGGAACUGAGACACGGUCCAGACUCCUACGGGAGGCAGCAGUAGGGAAUCUUCCGCAAUGGGCGAAAGCUUGACGGAGCAACGCCGCGUGAGUGAUGAAGGUCUUCGGAUCGUAAAACUCUGUUAUUAGGGAAGAACAAAUGUGUAAGUAACUAUGCACGUCUUGACGGUACCUAAUCAGAAAGCCACGGCUAACUACGUG